This 145-nucleotide non-coding RNA is filed under the name Phascolarctobacterium sp. Lineage: Bacteria; Bacillati; Bacillota; Negativicutes; Acidaminococcales; Acidaminococcaceae. The record is from RNAcentral.
AAAUCAAUAUUUCAUAUGGGUGUUCUAUGAACUUAAAUGUCGAUCGGUGUAAAUCCGAUGCGAUCCCGUCACCGUAACAGGUCAGUCCUUGCACAAGCCAAGGUAAUACCUGAAGCCGGACAGCAGCCUAUAUAAGCAUCACUGC